AGCUUUGUGCAUUAGCAGUAUUGUAGCUAAUGAUGUUUCUCUGAGUCACAAUUACUACUAAUUGAAAAAUUAGUUGUCAAUAAUG
Molecule: small nuclear RNA, 85 nt
Organism: Ursus americanus (American black bear)
Lineage: Eukaryota; Metazoa; Chordata; Mammalia; Carnivora; Ursidae
Gene: U4
Rfam family: U4 spliceosomal RNA
About the family: U4 small nuclear RNA (U4 snRNA) is a component of the major U2-dependent spliceosome. The structure of U4 snRNA from yeast and human has been reported.
Source: Ensembl